UACGUAGGGUGCAAGCGUUGUCCGGAAUUAUUGGGCGUAAAGAGCUCGUAGGCGGUCUGUCGCGUCGGCUGUGAAAACCCGGAGCUCAACUCCGGGCCUGCAGUCGAUACGGGCAAACUGGAGUGUUGCAGGGGAGACUGGAAUUCCUGGUGUAGCGGUGAAAUGCGCAGAUAUCAGGAGGAACACCGGUGGCGAAGGCGGGUCUCUGGGCAACAACUGACGCUGAGGCGCGAAAGCGUGGGGAGCAAACAGG
RNAcentral lists this ribosomal RNA (253 nucleotides) under uncultured bacterium. RNAcentral describes it as "partial 16S ribosomal RNA". It matches the Rfam family "Bacterial small subunit ribosomal RNA", at positions 524 to 776 of the family's 1533-position model. The record is from RNAcentral.